RNAcentral lists this ribosomal RNA (253 nucleotides) under uncultured bacterium. Its description in RNAcentral is "partial 16S ribosomal RNA". It matches the Rfam family "Bacterial small subunit ribosomal RNA", at positions 524 to 776 of the family's 1533-position model. The record is from RNAcentral.
UACAGAGGGUGCGAGCGUUGUUCGGAAUUAUUGGGCGUAAAGGGCGCGUAGGCGGUGCGGUAAGUCACCUGUGAAAUCUCCUGGCUCAACUGGGAGCUUGCAGGCGAAACCGCCGUGCUGGAGUGUGGGAGAGGUGCGUGGAAUUCCUGGUGUAGCGGUGAAAUGCGUAGAUAUCAGGAGGAACACCUGUGGCGAAAGCGGCGCACUGGACCACAACUGACGCUGAGGCGCGAAAGCUAGGGGAGCAAACAGG